RNAcentral lists this ribosomal RNA (252 nucleotides) under uncultured bacterium. RNAcentral's name for it is "partial 16S ribosomal RNA". It matches the Rfam family "Bacterial small subunit ribosomal RNA", at positions 524 to 777 of the family's 1533-position model. The record is from RNAcentral.
UACGGAGGGUGCAAGCGUUAUCCGGAUUUACUGGGUUAAAGGGUGUGUAGGCGGACUUUUAAGUCAGGGAUGAAAUCCCGAGGCUCAACCUCGGAACUGCCUUUGAUACUAUUGGUCUUGAAUGUUGUUGAGGUGGGCGGAACGGGUCAUGUAGCGGUGAAAUGCUAGAUAUGACCCGGAACACCGAUUGCGAAGGCAGCCCGCUAAGCAACUAUUGACGCUGAGGCACGAAAGCGUGGGGAUCAAACAGGG